AGGUAUAAGCCCAGAAAUCAAGGAAAAGUUUGUGAAAUAUUGCCAAAAACAUGGAAUUACUAAGGAAAACAUAAUUGACUUAACCAAAGUUGAUCACUGUCUCCAGGCCCAGGAUGGGGGAAAGGAGUAAGCCUCCAGAGCUGAGUGAAUAUUUCCUGACCUGGGCUCCAGCAUCUUCCCUUCCUGGUCCCCAUGUCCUCGUGUGACAAGUUCUAUAAUCUGAUUUCCAUACAGUCACACAUCCCUGCAUCUUCAGAAUCUUCCCUGAUUGCCUAAGGAGAUGCAUCAACUCACCAAGAAUCUGAAGUUUUCUGGAUUUCUGACUCUCUUUGCCAUACCCAGGGGAACCGUUCCCCACAUGGUCAAUAAAUGACUAACCCU
Carlito syrichta (Philippine tarsier) is the source of this 381-nucleotide long non-coding RNA. RefSeq lists it as uncharacterized. NCBI's taxonomy places the organism in Eukaryota, Metazoa, Chordata, Mammalia, Primates, Tarsiidae. The record is from RefSeq and is a predicted model, not a curated record. The transcript has 3 exons.